This 67-nucleotide ribosomal RNA is filed under the name uncultured Symbiodinium. RNAcentral describes it as "partial Trypanosomatid mitochondrial large subunit ribosomal RNA". The record is from RNAcentral. Lineage: Eukaryota; Dinophyceae; Suessiales; Symbiodiniaceae.
AAAAAUGUGAAAAAUAAAAAAAAUGUAAAAAAAUAAACAAAACACAAAUAAAAUAUAUGUAAAAAAU